CGCGUAGACGGUUGUCUAAGUCUGGAGUGAAAGUCCUGCUUUCAAGGUGGGAAUUGCUUUGGAGACUGAAUGACUUGAGUGCGGAAGAGGUAAGCGGAAUUCCCAGUGUAGCGGUGAAAUGCGUAGAGAUUGGGAAGAACACCAGUGGCGAAGGCGACUUACUGGGCCGUAACUGACGUUGAUGCGCGAAAGCGUGGGGAGCAAACA
RNAcentral lists this ribosomal RNA (207 nucleotides) under uncultured bacterium. Its description in RNAcentral is "partial 16S ribosomal RNA". It matches the Rfam family "Bacterial small subunit ribosomal RNA", at positions 568 to 774 of the family's 1533-position model. The record is from RNAcentral.